This 465-nucleotide ribosomal RNA is filed under the name uncultured Veillonella sp. Its description in RNAcentral is "bacterial SSU rRNA". It matches the Rfam family "Bacterial small subunit ribosomal RNA", at positions 338 to 795 of the family's 1533-position model. Lineage: Bacteria; Bacillati; Bacillota; Negativicutes; Veillonellales; Veillonellaceae. The record is from RNAcentral.
CCUACGGGGGGCUGCAGUGGGGAAUCUUCCGCAAUGGACGAAAGUCUGACGGAGCAACGCCGCGUGAGUGAUGAAGGUCUUCGGAUUGUAAAGCUCUGUUAAUCGGGACGAAAGAGCCUAGUGUGAAUAAUGCUAGGAAGUGACGGUACCGGAAUAGAAAGCCACGGCUAACUACGUGCCAGCAGCCGCGGUAAUACGUAGGUGGCAAGCGUUGUCCGGAAUUAUUGGGCGUAAAGCGCGCGCAGGCGGAUCUGCCAGUCUGUCUUAAAAGUUCGGGGCUUAACCCCGUGAUGGGAUGGAAACUACAGAUCUAGAGUAUCGGAGAGGAAAGUGGAAUUCCUAGUGUAGCGGUGAAAUGCGUAGAUAUUAGGAAGAACACCAGUGGCGAAGGCGACUUUCUGGACGAAAACUGACGCUGAGGCGCGAAAGCCAGGGGAGCGAACGGGCUUAGAUACCCUAGUAGUC